This 481-nucleotide ribosomal RNA is filed under the name uncultured bacterium. RNAcentral's name for it is "partial 16S ribosomal RNA". It matches the Rfam family "Bacterial small subunit ribosomal RNA", at positions 28 to 507 of the family's 1533-position model. The record is from RNAcentral.
GAUGAACGCUGGCGGCGUGCUUAACACAUGCGAGUCGAACGAAGCACUUUAUUUGAUUUCCUUCGGGACUGAUUAUUUUGUGACUGAGUGGCGGACGGGUGAGUAACGCGUGGGUAACCUGCCUUGUACAGGGGGAUAACAGUUGGAAACGGCUGCUAAUACCGCAUAAGCGCACAGCAUCGCAUGAUGCAGUGUGAAAAACUCCGGUGGUAUAAGAUGGACCCGCGUUGGAUUAGCUAGUUGGUGAGGUAACGGCCCACCAAGGCGACGAUCCAUAGCCGACCUGAGAGGGUGACCGGCCACAGUGGGACUGAGACACGGCCCAAACUCCUACGGGAGGCAGCAGUGGGGAAUAUUGCACAAUGGGCGAAAGCCUGAUGCAGCGACGCCGCGUGAGCGAAGAAGUAUUUCGGGAUGUAAAGCUCUAUCAGCAGGGAAGAUAAUGACGGUACCUGACUAAGAAGCACCGGCUAAAUACGUG